This 363-nucleotide ribosomal RNA is filed under the name uncultured bacterium. RNAcentral describes it as "bacterial SSU rRNA". It matches the Rfam family "Bacterial small subunit ribosomal RNA", at positions 495 to 858 of the family's 1533-position model. The record is from RNAcentral.
UAGUAUCAGCGUGUCAGCCGCCGCGGUAAUACGUAGGGUGCAAGCGUUAAUCGGAAUUACUGGGCGUAAAGCGUGCGCAGGCGGUUAUGCAAGACAGAUGUGAAAUCCCCGGGCUCAACCUGGGAACUGCAUUUGUGACUGCAUAGCUGGAGUGCGGCAGAGGGGGAUGGAAUUCCGCGUGUAGCAGUGAAAUGCGUAGAUAUGCGGAGGAACACCGAUGGCGAAGGCAAUCCCCUGGGCCUGCACUGACGCUCAUGCACGAAAGCGUGGGGAGCAAACAGGAUUAGAUACCCCUGGUAGUCCACGCCCUAAACGAUGUCAACUGGUUGUUGGGAGGGUUUCUCUCAGUAACGUAGCUAACGC